Molecule: transfer RNA, 63 nt
Filed under: Marmota marmota marmota (Alpine marmot)
Lineage: Eukaryota; Metazoa; Chordata; Mammalia; Rodentia; Sciuridae
Also listed under: 3 other names
Rfam family: tRNA
About the family: Transfer RNA (tRNA) molecules are approximately 80 nucleotides in length. Their secondary structure includes four short double-helical elements and three loops (D, anti-codon, and T loops). Further hydrogen bonds mediate the characteristic L-shaped molecular structure. tRNAs have two regions of fundamental functional importance: the anti-codon, which is responsible for specific mRNA codon recognition, and the 3' end, to which the tRNAs corresponding amino acid is attached (by aminoacyl-tRNA synthetases). tRNAs cope with the degeneracy of the genetic code in two manners: having more than one tRNA (with a specific anti-codon) for a particular amino acid; and 'wobble' base-pairing, i.e. permitting non-standard base-pairing at the 3rd anti-codon position.
Source: Rfam by way of RNAcentral
GGGGAUAUAGCUCAGUGGUAGAGCACUUGCCUAGCAUGCAGGAAGCCAUUGGUUCAAUCCCCA